Lolium rigidum is the source of this 349-nucleotide long non-coding RNA. RefSeq lists it as uncharacterized. Lineage: Eukaryota; Viridiplantae; Streptophyta; Magnoliopsida; Poales; Poaceae. The record is from RefSeq and is a predicted model, not a curated record. The transcript has 4 exons.
GUAGAAUUGGCAUACACAAAAGGAGUUCAAAAGUCGUACUGUGUGAAAUUUUCCAAAGUUCACUGUAGCUUCAUAUCCUUGGGUCAAUCUCUACAAAGAGAAGGGCAUGUUGAUAACUUCUUGAUUCCAGUUUUUUGUCGCAAACUGUUUGAGGAUAAUCACCCUAGUAAAUCUGGGAGGCAUCAUUUCUUCUCCUUUAUCGGUGAAAAUAUCCUCGACUAUAACAAUGAUGUUCAGCUAGGAUUAAUUGCUAAAGCUUUUAUUGGUGCUGCAUCAGCAAGUAAAGGGAAAAGAUUGGAGCUAUCCGACAGGCUCUUUUUCCCAAUAUGCCGCUCACGUCAUUGGUUCA